GGUCAAGCUACAAAGAGCGCAAGGGGAAUGCCUUGGCACCAGGAGCCGACGAAGGACGCAGCAAUCUGCGAAAAGCCACGGGGAGCCGAAAGCAGGCAUCGAUCCGUGGAUGUCCGAAUGGGGAAACCCGGCUGAGUGAAGCUCAGUCAGCGUACACUGAAUCCAUAGGUGUGCGUGGGGAACCGCCUGAACUGAAACAUCUAAGUAGGGCGAGGAAAAGAAAUCAACCGAGAUUCCGCAAGUAGUGGCGAGCGAACGCGGAAGAGGCCAAACCGGCUGUAGAAAUAUGGCCGGGGUAAGGACAGCAAAAUGUAUGUUGGACCCUAGCAGAAGGGCAUGGGACGGCCCACCACAGAGAGUGAUAGUCUCGUAUGCGAAAGGGAAAAACAGCAAGCUGUAUCCGGAGUACCACUGGACACGUGAAACCCGGUGGGAAUGUGGGGGGACCACCCUCCAAGCCUAAAUACUCCCUGGUGACCGAUAGUGAAGAGUACUGUGAAGGAAAGGUGAAAAGAACCCCGGGAGGGGAGUGAAAAGAACCUGAAACCUUGUGCUUACAAGCACACAGAGCACGUCAAGGUGUGAUGUGGUACCUUUUGUAGAAUGGUCCGGCGAGUGAAUGUAACGAGCAAGGUUAAGCACUUUAGGUGUGGAGCCGAAGCGAAAGCAAGUCUGAAAAGGGCGAGAAGUUCGUUGUAUUCGACCCGAAACCGGGUGACCUAGCCAUGUCCAGGCUGAAGUGAAGGUAAAACUUCAUGGAGGGCCGAACCCACUCCCGUUGAAAUGGUAGGGGAUGAGGUGUGGCUAGCGGAGAAAUUCCAAUCGAACCCGGAGAUAGCUGGUUCUCUCCGAAAUAGCUUUAGGGCUAGCCUCGACUGAACAUUACCGGAGGUAAAGCACUGAAUGGGCUAGGGGCCGAGAGGUUACUGAACCCUAUCAAACUAAGAAUGCCGGAUAAUGAUAGUCGGGAGUCAGACAGUGUGAGAUAAGUUUCAUUGUCGAAAGGGAAACAGCCCAGACCCACAGCUAAGGUCCCAAAGUAUCGUUAAGUGGAAAAGGAUGUGGAACUGCCCAGACAACCAGGAUGUUGGCUCAGAAGCAGCCAUACAUUCAAAGAGUGCGUAAUAGCUCACUGGUCGAGUGGUUCUGCGCCGAAAAUUUAACGGGGCUAAACGAUACACCGAAGCUUGGGAUGCAGCAUUGGCUGCAUGGUAGGAGAGCGUUCUGUACGGGGUGAAGUCAUAGCGGAAGCGGUGGUGGACUGUACAGAAGAGAGAAUGCCGGAAUGAGUAGCGAGAUUUAUGUGAGAAUCAUAAAGGCCGAAAGACUAAGGAUUUAGAAGGAAGGUUCGUCCGCUUCUAGUUAGCCGGGAGCUAAGGCGAGGCCGAAAGGCGUAGUCGAUGCACAUACGGUGGAGAUUCCGUAGCCGCCUCUUAAUUUAAGCAAAGGGACACUUUCAAAGGGAAUGACCCGGGCGUUGGUAGCCCCGGGCGAAAGGGACCGAAAUUAGAGUAGGGAAGCAUUUCUGGAGGAAGGCGAGAAAAGCUUUGCGGAUAGAGAGAGGCGCCCGUACCGCAAACCGACACAGGUAGUCAGGAAGAGGAUUCUAAGGCCAACGGGAGAAGGGUAGUUAAGGAACUCGGCAAAUUGACCCCGUAACUUCGGAAUAAGGGGUGCUCCUGAAAAGGAGCCGCAGUGAAUAGGCCCAGGCGACUGUUUAUCAAAAACACAGCUCUCUGCUAAAUCGAAAGAUGAAGUAUAGGGGGUGACACCUGCCCGGUGCUGGAAGGUUAAGAGGAAGGGUGCAAGCUCUGAAUUGAAGCCCCAGUAAACGGCGGCCGUAACUAUAACGGUCCUAAGGUAGCGAAAUUCCUUGUCGGGUAAGUUCCGACCCGCACGAAUGGUGUAACGAUCUGGGCACUGUCUCAACUACCCACCCGGCGAAAUUGUAGUACCGGUGAAGAUGCCGGUUACCCGCGGCAAGACGGAAAGACCCCAUGGAGCUUUACUGUAGCCUGAUAUUGGGUUUCGGUAUUCUAUGUACAGGAUAGGCGGGAGACUGGGAACCGAUGGCGUCAGCUGUCGGGGAGUCACCCUUGGGAUACCGCUCUUAGAGUACUGGAAUUCUAACCUGCGGCCGUGAAUCCGGCCGGGGGACAUUGUCAGGUGGGCAGUUUGACUGGGGCGGUCGCCUCCAAAAAGGUAACGGAGGCGCUCAAAGGUUCGCUCAGCACGGACGGAAACCGUGCCUCUGAGUGCAAACGCAAAAGCGAGCCUAACUGCGAGGCUGACGGGCCGAGCAGUAACGAAAGUUGGAGUUAGUGAUCCGGCGGUAUGUGAGUGGAAAUGCCGUCGCUCAACGGAUAAAAGCUACCCUGGGGAUAACAGGCUGAUCUCCCCCAAGAGUCCACAUCGACGGGGAGGUUUGGCACCUCGAUGUCGGCUCAUCACAUCCUGGGGCUGAAUUCGGUCCCAAGGGUUCGGCUGUUCGCCGAUUAAAGUGGUACGCGAGCUGGGUUCAGAACGUCGUGAGACAGUUCGGUCCCUAUCUGUCGUGGGCGCAGGAUAUUUGAGGAGCGCUGUCCCUAGUACGAGAGGACCGGGAUGGACGCACCGCUGGUGCACCAGUUGUCACGCCAGUGGCACAGCUGGGCAGCUAAGUGCGGAAAGGAUAAACGCUGAAAGCAUCUAAGCGUGAAGCCACCUCCAAGAUAAGAUAUCCCACAGCGUAAGCUGGUAAGACCCCUCAAGGACUAUGAGGUUGAUAGGCUGCAUGUGUAAGUGUUGUGAGACAUUGAGCUUGGCAGUACUAAUAGGUCGAGGGCUUGACCAU
RNAcentral lists this ribosomal RNA (2833 nucleotides) under Staphylococcus haemolyticus. Its description in RNAcentral is "23S ribosomal RNA". It matches the Rfam family "Bacterial large subunit ribosomal RNA". Lineage: Bacteria; Bacillati; Bacillota; Bacilli; Caryophanales; Staphylococcaceae. The record is from RNAcentral.